UACGGAGGGUGCAAGCGUUAUCCGGAUUUACUGGGUUUAAAGGGUGUGUAGGCGGGCAUUUAAGUCAGAGGUGAAAUCCCCGGGCUCAACCCGGAAACUGCCUUUGAUACUAUUUGUCUUGAAUUUCGUUGAGGUUGGCGGAAUAUAUCAUGUAGCGGUGAAAUGCGUAGAUAUGAUAUAGAACACCGAUUGCGAAGGCAGCUGGCUGAACGAACAUUGACGCUGAGGCACGAAAGCGUGGGUAGCGAACAGG
Molecule: unclassified non-coding RNA, 253 nt
Filed under: uncultured Chitinophagales bacterium
Lineage: Bacteria; Pseudomonadati; Bacteroidota; Chitinophagia; Chitinophagales
Description: contains 16S-23S intergenic spacer region
Rfam family: Bacterial small subunit ribosomal RNA
Source: RNAcentral